Non-coding RNA from Arenibacter sp., 173 nucleotides. Lineage: Bacteria; Pseudomonadati; Bacteroidota; Flavobacteriia; Flavobacteriales; Flavobacteriaceae. The record is from Rfam.
UCCAUCGUGAGGUGGAAUCUGAAGGAAGCUGGAGGCAAAAUCCUGGCCUGACGUACAGGAACUACAUAUAAGGCCAAAGUUGUCUGGAUAAAGUUACACAACAAACCGAAGUCCAACACUGCUCGGAGACAACAUGGUAAAUGUAGCAGGUAGAUGGGAUGAAAGAUAUCGUU